CAUCACUUCAGUCCCCCGCCAAGCAUGGGUGU
Molecule: non-coding RNA, 32 nt
Filed under: Homo sapiens (human)
Lineage: Eukaryota; Metazoa; Chordata; Mammalia; Primates; Hominidae
Source: RNAcentral